GACGAAUGCGGGCGGCGUGCCUAAUACAUGCAAGUUGAGCGAUGAAGAUUGGUGCUUGCACCAAUUUGAAGAGCAGCGAUCGGGUGAGUAACGCGUGGGGAAUCUGCCUUUGAGCGGGGGACAACAUUUGGAAACGCAUGCUAAUACCGCAUAACAACUUUAAACAUAAGCUUUAAGUUUGAAAGAUGCAAUUGCAUCACUCAAAGAUGACUCCGCGUUGUAUUAGCUAGUUGGGGAGGUAAAGGCUCACAAAGGCGAUGAUACAUAGCCGACCUGAGAGGGUGAUCGGCCACAGUGGGACUGAGACACGGCCCAAACUCCUACGGGAGGCAGCAGUAGGGAAUCUUCGGCAAUGGACGAAAGUCUGACCGAGCAACGCCGCGUGAGUGAAGAAGGUUUUCGGAUCGUAAAACUCUGUUGGUAGAGAAGAACGUUGGUGAGAGUGGAAAGCUCAUCAAGUGACGGUAACUACCCAGAAAGGGACGGCUAACUACGUGCCAGCCGCCGCCGUAA
RNAcentral lists this ribosomal RNA (513 nucleotides) under uncultured bacterium. RNAcentral describes it as "partial 16S ribosomal RNA". It matches the Rfam family "Bacterial small subunit ribosomal RNA", at positions 28 to 523 of the family's 1533-position model. The record is from RNAcentral.